GCAUUGGUUGUUCAAUGGUAGAAUUCUCGCCUCUCACCCGGGAGACCCGGGUUCGAUUCCCGGCCAAUGCA
RNAcentral lists this transfer RNA (71 nucleotides) under Microcebus murinus (gray mouse lemur). RNAcentral describes it as "tRNA-Glu (CTC) (tRNA-Glu-CTC-6-1)". It matches the Rfam family "tRNA". From Rfam's summary of the family: Transfer RNA (tRNA) molecules are approximately 80 nucleotides in length. The record is from Rfam by way of RNAcentral. Lineage: Eukaryota; Metazoa; Chordata; Mammalia; Primates; Cheirogaleidae.